RNAcentral lists this long non-coding RNA (2875 nucleotides) under Ficedula albicollis (Collared flycatcher). Its description in RNAcentral is "lncRNA (ENSFALG00000023204.1)". Lineage: Eukaryota; Metazoa; Chordata; Aves; Passeriformes; Muscicapidae. The record is from RNAcentral.
CUUUCUUCAUUUCUAGCAGAGCAGGUUUUUUCAGUUUUUGCUCUCCAUUCCCAUUUUUUUUACAUUAGUACCGUGGUGUGGCCAUCCUUCAAUAUGACCCAGGGAAAUGGUCAGUCCCAUGUAGGUGGAUAUGCAAGUCCUGGAGGGGCAGUCUAUAGACACUUACUGUUCCUUGAAAGGACAUGAAUAUUCAGAAAAAGCCAUGUUUCAGAAAGUGGAAGAGAGAUUUUUUCUGCUAGGAAGGCCAUUUCUUCCCAAUUAAAUGGGAAAUGAGCAGCAGAUUGUGGACAGGACACUUUCCUAUUCCAGCCCCAAACAUGGGAAAACUCACUGGAGUACAGGAAUUCUCGUUAUCCUUACAACUCCAGUCUGGGGGUUUGACCAAUCUUCUUUGCUUUCCCCUUCUGCCCUCAUCUACAACUGACCUGUGCUUUCCUCCUGGCAGCCUUCACCCAUGAAGAGUCAGCUGUGCCACACACUGGGACACCUGUGACCACACACAAGACCAGCACAGCCACCUCCAUCAGCAGCACCUCCAAGACCUCUGUCUCCACAGGGCCCAGCCCAGCAAGCAGCACAGGAGCCCCUCUGGAAACAACCUCUGCCCAUGCCAGCUCUCCACCUGCCCCCAGCAGCCCGCUCAGCACAAGGCUGCCAUCCACUGCCACCACUUCCACUGGCUCCUCCACAGCAGCUGCCAGCACCAGCCCCAGGCCUACACCUACAACCCUGAGGCCCAGGCCCUCUUCCCCAGCAACCCAAGCUGCAAAGGAGUCUCCUGUAACAGAGUCCUCUGCACCCACCACAGCCAAAACCAGCACUCUGCCACAACCUGCUUCUUCUCCCUCCUCAACUGUGUCCUCAACAUGGCUCAGCUCCUCACAGCCUGUAUCCACCCACAAAGUGCCACAUGCUGAGACAGCUGUAACCACAGAGAAGACCACGGCCACCACCUCCAUCAGCAGCACCUCCAAGACCUCUGUCUCCACAGGGCCCAGCCCAGCAAGCAGCACAGGAGCCCCUCUGGAAACAACCUCUGCCCAUGCCAGCUCUCCACCUGCCCCCAGCAGCCCGCUCAGCACAAGGCUGCCAUCCACUGCCACCACUUCCACUGGCUCCUCCACAGCAGCUGCCAGCACCAGCCCCAGGCCUACACCUACAACCCUGAGGCCCAGGCCCUCUUCCCCAGCAACCCAAGCUGCAAAGGAGUCUCCUGUAACAGAGUCCUCUGCACCCACCACAGCCAAAACCAGCACUCUGCCACAACCUGCUUCUUCUCCCUCCUCAACUGUGUCCUCAACAUGGCUCAGCUCCUCACAGCCUGGUAAGGCUCCCUCCUACCCAUCCUGGUGCUUCCCCUUGUGUCCCUUUUCCUUUCUUCAUUUCUAGCAGAGCAGGUUUUUUCAGUUUUUGCUCUCCAUUCCCAUUUUUUUUACAUUAGUACCGUGGUGUGGCCAUCCUUCAAUAUGACCCAGGGAAAUGGUCAGUCCCAUGUAGGUGGAUAUGCAAGUCCUGGAGGGGCAGUCUAUAGACACUUACUGUUCCUUGAAAGGACAUGAAUAUUCAGAAAAAGCCAUGUUUCAGAAAGUGGAAGAGAGAUUUUUUCUGCUAGGAAGGCCAUUUCUUCCCAAUUAAAUGGGAAAUGAGCAGCAGAUUGUGGACAGGACACUUUCCUAUUCCAGCCCCAAACAUGGGAAAACUCACUGGAGUACAGGAAUUCUCGUUAUCCUUACAACUCCAGUCUGGGGGUUUGACCAAUCUUCUUUGCUUUCCCCUUCUGCCCUCAUCUACAACUGACCUGUGCUUUCCUCCUGGCAGCCUUCACCCAUGAAGAGUCAGCUGUGCCACACACUGGGACACCUGUGACCACACACAAGACCAGCACAGCCACCUCCAUCAGCAGCACCUCCAAGACCUCUGUCUCCACAGGGCCCAGCCCAGCAAGCAGCACAGGAGCCCCUCUGGAAACAACCUCUGCCCAUGCCAGCUCUCCACCUGCCCCCAGCAGCCCGCUCAGCACAAGGCUGCCAUCCACUGCCACCACUUCCACUGGCUCCUCCACAGCAGCUGCCAGCACCAGCCCCAGGCCUACACCUACAACCCUGAGGCCCAGGCCCUCUUCCCCAGCAACCCAAGCUGCAAAGGAGUCUCCUGUAACAGAGUCCUCUGCAUCCACCACAGCCAAAACCAGCACGCUGCCACAACCUGCUUCUUCUCCCUCCUCAACUGUGUCCUCAACAUGGCUCAGCUCCUCACAGCCUGGUAAGGCUCUCUCCUGUGCAUCCCGCUAGUUCUCCUUGUGUGCCUUUUCCUUUCUUCAUUUCUAGCAGAGGAGGUUUUUUCAGUUCUUGCUCUCCAUUCCCAUAAGCUCUGCCUGCUCCCUGAAGUGAUAUAUGCAUCUCCACAAAGAUGUUAUUUCCAGGAAAAGGUGGUUGGAUCUUGACUUUUGGAAGGCACACUGUCCAUGUCCUCCCUUUUCUGAAAGAAUCCAGACAGCUGCUUGGAGACAGGACCCACAGGAAAAUGUUCCCUUUUUCCCAGGAACACUCAGUGCAGCACUCAGUGCUGUUUUUAAUUAUGUUACCUGUCUAACUCCUCUGACUAUACACAUUUCAUUUUUCACUUGUCCUCAUUCUCAAAUGAGCUCUGCUUCCUUCCUGGCAGCCUUCACCCACGAAGUGCCACAUGCUGAGACAGCUGUAACCACAGAGAAGACCACGGCCACCACCUCCAUCAGCAGCACCUCCAAGACCUCUGUCUCCACAGGGCCCAGCCCAGCAAGCAGCACAGGAGCCCCUCUGGAAACAGCACCCCCCCCCCCCCCCCCCCCCCCCCCCCCCCCCCCCCCCCCCCCCCCCCCCCCCCCCCCCCCCCC